GAUGAACGCUGGCGGCGUGCCUAAUACAUGCAAGUCGAGCGAACGGACGAGAAGCUUGCUUCUCUGAUGUUAGCGGCGGACGGGUGAGUAACACGUGGAUAACCUACCUAUAAGACUGGGAUAGCUUCGGGAAACCGGAGCUAAUACCGUAUAAUAUUUUGAACCGCAUGGUUCAAAAGUGAAAGACGGUCUUGCUGUCACUUAUAGAUGGAUCCGCGCUGCAUUAGCUAGUUGGUAAGGUAACGGCUUACCAAGGCAACGAUGCAUAGCCGACCUGAGAGGGUGAUCGGCCACACUGGAACUGAGACACGGUCCAGACUCCUACGGGAGGCAGCAGUAGGGAAUCUUCCGCAAUGGGCGAAAGCCUGACGGAGCAACGCCGCGUGAGUGAUGAAGGUCUUCGGAUCAUAAAACUCUGUUAUUAGGGAAGAACAUAUGUGUAAGUAACUGUGCACAUCUUGACGGUACCUAAUCAGAAAGCCACGGCUAACUACGUG
Molecule: ribosomal RNA, 497 nt
Filed under: uncultured bacterium
Lineage: Bacteria
Description: partial 16S ribosomal RNA
Rfam family: Bacterial small subunit ribosomal RNA
Source: RNAcentral